AACCAUACGCGAAGUCUUAUGCAUCCACUAGCGCUCGUAAUGGUGGGGCCGCCCCUCUAGACUCUGAACAAUAGAGCCACUGAUGAGGAGACGGGUCUCCACGUGGGUGAACUCGGGUCACAAGUUCCUCCAAAUAGUGGGUGCAAAUUGGACCUGCCACGUGCCACGACCACGUCAAAGUGCGCUACAGCAGAAAUCCCACGUUUGUCAUUUUGCUACUAAAAUGUACGAAAUAAAAUUGCAUGCAACGGC
RNAcentral lists this long non-coding RNA (252 nucleotides) under Elaeis guineensis (African oil palm). RNAcentral describes it as "long non-coding RNA (EGUI_LNC043327)". The record is from RNAcentral. Lineage: Eukaryota; Viridiplantae; Streptophyta; Magnoliopsida; Arecales; Arecaceae.